RNAcentral lists this ribosomal RNA (301 nucleotides) under uncultured bacterium. RNAcentral's name for it is "partial 16S ribosomal RNA". It matches the Rfam family "Bacterial small subunit ribosomal RNA", at positions 509 to 807 of the family's 1533-position model. The record is from RNAcentral.
CAGUCGCCGCGGUAAAACGAAGGGUGCGAGCGUUAAUCGGAAUUACUGGGCGUAAAGCGUGCGCAGGCGGUUGUGUAAGACAGGUGUGAAAUCCCCGGGCUUAACCUGGGAACUGCGCUUGUGACUGCACAGCUAGAGUAUGGCAGAGGGGGGUGGAAUUCCACGUGUAGCAGUGAAAUGCGUAGAGAUGUGGAGGAACACCGAUGGCGAAGGCAGCCCCCUGGGCCAAUACUGACGCUCACGCACGAAAGCGUGGGGAGCAAACAGGAUUAGAUACCCGCGUAGUCCCUGUCUCUUAUAC